RNAcentral lists this long non-coding RNA (206 nucleotides) under Elaeis guineensis (African oil palm). RNAcentral's name for it is "long non-coding RNA (EGUI_LNC027082)". The record is from RNAcentral. Lineage: Eukaryota; Viridiplantae; Streptophyta; Magnoliopsida; Arecales; Arecaceae.
GGGAAAGUGUAAAACUUUAACUGUGUGACAUUAAGAUGUGUAGAAUUAGAAACCAAAAGAGAAAUAUAGCAAAAUGCAGUGCAUGACCCAUUGACAGUUGAAGGAAAGCCAUCAUGCUGGAAUAGACUGGCAGUAAAGCGAUAUAGCAUCAGAAUUCCUUUGAGACAACAUGAAAAAACCGAUGUGAGCCAUGAUGAAGUAAGCAG